UUUCCAUUCCGGGAAACAAAUCAGUGUGUGCAGAGGAAGAUUACAAGGGAAAUAGAAAAAGAAGCCAGGGUACAACAAGGGAAAACAAAAGCAAUGAAGGUAGGAUGAUCCCUUAGAGAAGACAAAGCAGAGAGCCUGAAGGAAGACAAACUAUUAAUAGCAAAAGUCCAAGAGAUUACCCACCUUCAGGACCUGGCAAACAAUAACCCGAGGGCCGUCUGUGUAACAGCUCCACAAGUGUGAGAAAAGAACUCUUCCCCUAACCAAUGCUGCAGAAGUGGCCCCUUCACAUCAAUCAGCCUUCAAGUUCUUCCUGUGACAACUGAAGUGAGGUCAGUGGAAAGAAGGCAGCCAGUGUCCCCACCUGUAGGUCCACUGUGAUGCUAUUCCAUGAUGCAGCAGACAGCACACCCCCAUUCCUUGGAUUGCACAAACUGGCAUCUGAGAGGUUAUCUUCGAACAAACAUCCAUGGUUGUUAUUUGGGUGGGAAAUUUUAGUGAAUCCUUUCAACUUUGAAGAAUUUAUAAACUAAAUUUGGCUUAAAUAUGCUCUUUCCAAAUUCUUUGGCAAAGACAAUGUAAUUUUGCUUACAACAAAAGAGAAGUCAGAAACUGUGCUGACUUGGACUUUAGGAGGAAAAAAAAUAAAAAGAUCUUUUUUCAAACAGAAUAA
Meriones unguiculatus (Mongolian gerbil) is the source of this 673-nucleotide long non-coding RNA. RefSeq lists it as uncharacterized. The record is from RefSeq and is a predicted model, not a curated record. NCBI's taxonomy places the organism in Eukaryota, Metazoa, Chordata, Mammalia, Rodentia, Muridae. The transcript is spliced from 2 exons.